ACGGCUCAGUACACGUCAAUAAUCUGCCUUAGAUCUGGGAUAUCCUUGGGAAACUGAGGUCAAGACCGGAUAGGCAAAGAGUACUGGAAUGUUUCUUUGCUCAAAGGCAACGUCUAAGGAUGAGUUGGCGGCUGAUUAGGCAGUGGCGGUGUUAAGGACCACCAAAACCUACAAUCAGUACGGGCCGUGAGAGCGGUAGCCCGGAGAAGGGUACUGAGACACUGACCCUAGCCCUACGGGGUGCAGCAGGCGCGAAACCUUUACAAUGUACGAAAGUGCGAUAAGGGAACUCCCAGUGCUCAGGCCUUGCCUGGGCUUUUGCCAAGUGUAAGUAGCUUGGAGAAUAAGUGGUGGGAAAGACUGGUGCCAGCCGCCGCGGUAACCCCAGCGCCACGAGUGGGGAUCGCGUUUAUUGGGCCUAAAGCAUCCGUAGCCGGUUUUGUAAAUCUCUUGUGAAAUUGUUGGGCUCAACCUAACAGCGUGCAGGAGACACUGCAAGACUAGGGACCGGGAGGAGUCAGGGGUAUGCUAUGGGGAGCGGUAAAAUGCUAUAAUCCAUGGUAGACCACCUGUGGCGAAGGCGCCUGACUAGAACGGGUCCGACGGUGAGGGAUGAAAGCCAGGGGAGCAAACCGGAUUAGAUACGAGAAAUCUGCCUGAUUUCUGGUAUUAGCUCGCAAUGUUGCUUAUAAAACUACAGUUGCGAAGGAAAACGGAAAUUGUUAAUGUGGAUUUGCUCGCUAAUUACCCGAGUAGUCCUGGCCGUAAACCCUGCGAGCUAGGUGUCGCAUAAUCUUCGUGAUUGUGCGGUGUCGUAGUGAAGAUGAUAAGCUCGCCGCCUGGGAAGUACGGUCGCAAGACUGAAACUUAAAGGGAAUUGGCGGGGGAG
RNAcentral lists this ribosomal RNA (889 nucleotides) under uncultured archaeon. Its description in RNAcentral is "bacterial SSU rRNA". It matches the Rfam family "Archaeal small subunit ribosomal RNA", at positions 85 to 876 of the family's 1478-position model. The record is from RNAcentral.